This 1034-nucleotide ribosomal RNA is filed under the name Cosmospora sp. 3 PC-2011. RNAcentral describes it as "SSU rRNA". It matches the Rfam family "Eukaryotic small subunit ribosomal RNA", at positions 60 to 1107 of the family's 1831-position model. The record is from RNAcentral. Lineage: Eukaryota; Fungi; Ascomycota; Sordariomycetes; Hypocreales; Nectriaceae.
CUAGUUAGCAAUUAUACCGCGAAACUGCGAAUGGCUCAUUAUAUAAGUUAUCGUUUAUUUGAUAGUACCUUACUACUUGGAUAACCGUGGUAAUUCUAGAGCUAAUACAUGCUAAAAAUCCCGACUUCGGAAGGGAUGUAUUUAUUAGAUUAAAAACCAAUGCCCUUCGGGGCUCCUUGGUGAUUCAUGAUAACUUCUCGAAUCGCAUGGCCUUGUGCCGGCGAUGGUUCAUUCAAAUUUCUUCCCUAUCAACUUUCGAUGUUUGGGUAUUGGCCAAACAUGGUUGCAACGGGUAACGGAGGGUUAGGGCUCGACCCCGGAGAAGGAGCCUGAGAAACGGCUACUACAUCCAAGGAAGGCAGCAGGCGCGCAAAUUACCCAAUCCCGACACGGGGAGGUAGUGACAAUAAAUACUGAUACAGGGCUCUUUUGGGUCUUGUAAUUGGAAUGAGUACAAUUUAAAUCCCUUAACGAGGAACAAUUGGAGGGCAAGUCUGGUGCCAGCAGCCGCGGUAAUUCCAGCUCCAAUAGCGUAUAUUAAAGUUGUUGUGGUUAAAAAGCUCGUAGUUGAACCUUGGGCCUGGCUGGCCGGUCCGCCUCACCGCGUGUACUGGUCCGGCCGGGCCUUUCCCUCUGUGGAACCCCAUGCCCUUCACUGGGUGUGGCGGGGAAACAGGACUUUUACUUUGAAAAAAUUAGAGUGCUCCAGGCAGGCCUAUGCUCGAAUACAUUAGCAUGGAAUAAUAGAAUAGGACGUGUGGUUCUAUUUUGUUGGUUUCUAGGACCGCCGUAAUGAUUAAUAGGGACAGUCGGGGGCAUCAGUAUUCAAUUGUCAGAGGUGAAAUUCUUGGAUUUAUUGAAGACUAACUACUGCGAAAGCAUUUGCCAAGGAUGUUUUCAUUAAUCAGGAACGAAAGUUAGGGGAUCGAAGACGAUCAGAUACCGUCGUAGUCUUAACCAUAAACUAUGCCGACUAGGGAUCGGACGAUGUUAUUUUUUGACUCGUUCGGCACCUUACGAGAAAUCAAAGUGCU